GACGAACGCUGGCGGCGUGCUUAACACAUGCAAGUCGAACGGAAAGGCCCUGCUUUUGUGGGGUGCUCGAGUGGCGAACGGGUGAGUAACACGUGAGUAGCCUGCCCUUGACUUUGGGAUAACUUCAGGAAACUGGGGCUAAUACCGGAUAGGAGCUCCUGCUGCAUGGUGGGGGUUGGAAAGUUUCGGCGGUUGGGGAUGGACUCGCGGCUUAUCAGCUUGUUGGUGGGGUAGUGGCUUACCAAGGCUUUGACGGGUAGCCGGCCUGAGAGGGUGACCGGCCACAUUGGGACUGAGAUACGGCCCAGACUCCUACGGGAGGCAGCAGUGGGGAAUAUUGCACAAUGGGCGGAAGCCUGAUGCAGCAACGCCGCGUGCGGGAUGACGGCCUUCGGGUUGUAAACCGCUUUCGCCUGUGACGAAGCGUGAGUGACGGUAAUGGGUAAAGAAGCGCCGGCUAACUACGUG
Molecule: ribosomal RNA, 468 nt
Filed under: uncultured bacterium
Lineage: Bacteria
Description: partial 16S ribosomal RNA
Rfam family: Bacterial small subunit ribosomal RNA
Source: RNAcentral